Long non-coding RNA from Motacilla alba alba, 793 nucleotides. RefSeq lists it as uncharacterized. The record is from RefSeq and is a predicted model, not a curated record. The transcript has 3 exons. NCBI's taxonomy places the organism in Eukaryota, Metazoa, Chordata, Aves, Passeriformes, Motacillidae.
AGUAGUUGGGAAAAAAUGAAAAAUGGAAAACCUAGAUAAUGUGAGUACCUCAGGGUCAGGGCUGGCCCAGCCAUGCAUGUUGUGCCCUGGUGUAAAUGUCCUGCUCACUUAAGCUGCAAAGAGCAGCAGCAGUUUAGGUACCACUGCAUGUCUAACAUGGUUUAUUCCCCAAGUGGGUAAGGGACCCAGACUCAAUGGAGAAUAAACUCUGAUUUUUACUGUUACUACUGUGCACAGGUACUUCAAUUCAUAUUUAUAAAGUGUGAUCUAGAUAGUGUUGUGAUGGUUUUGCAGCAGCAAUAGUCAUUAAAAUACAAACAUGAUUUCAUGUAGAAUGAGAUGUCAUCUCUGAAAUAGGACUGAAGUAACACAAGUAUCCAGUUGCAGGAAUAAAAGACUUCAUCUAGGAAGAAUGGCAACAUCGUACUCCUUAACAGACUGCGGAGAGAGGUAGAAAAGCCCUCUCCUACCCAACUUCCAAAACUAAUGAAGGAAAAUUCAGGUUAAAAAAAUGAAAAACACAUUAGUUCAGUCAGUUUACGGUUACCAAUGUAUCAGGUUUUCCCAGCUUACCCUGAACCCUGUUUCUGGAGCUUGCUGUACGUGUUUUCUUGUUCUUUCCAAUCAUUGCUUGGAUAGAGAAGCUGAAGACUGAAGCAGAAAUUUCCAGUGCCUGGUGAUUUUCUUUUCACUGGAUGUGAAUGGCAACAGGUGGCCACAACUGGUACUGUGAGAAGCUGUGUAUUCCCUCAGCACUUUGAGCCAAUGACAAUAUAAUCCUCAAUUCACAUUU